Molecule: long non-coding RNA, 1784 nt
Filed under: Nicotiana benthamiana
Lineage: Eukaryota; Viridiplantae; Streptophyta; Magnoliopsida; Solanales; Solanaceae
Description: long non-coding RNA (NBEN_LNC030419)
Source: RNAcentral
AGCAGCUUCCUCUGAAAAUUCCUCUACUUCAGUUUCAAGUCUCAGAACCUCACAAAUAAGCCUGCAGCUGCAUUUGUUUCCUCUACAAUCACUAGCAAUACCAUGGCAGCAGCUGUUGAAGUAGUGAAGGCAACUAAAGAAGAAAAUCCUUCCGGCACAGUUCUUCUCCCUAACAUGAAAGAGAUAGAAGAAAGGGUAACACAGUCUUUUUAUAUUAAUUUUAAUAGACUAGUGGCUACUAUUACUAAGCAUUAAAAAUACUAGAUAAAAAAUUAAUACCACUUUAAAAAGUGGCUACCCCACACAAUUUUUAUGAUGGGAGGAAGUGCACGGUUAGUCACUAAUAACACGUGUAUUUACUUUUAAGCCACUGUUUAAAAUGUCUUUGGUCUUUAGCCAUUACUUUAAUAAAAUUUAACUCCCUGGAUGAAAAUACCCUUAUGCUCAUGCCCUUAACUUUUGAACUUAACUUCAUGACUUCAGGACUACAUGUCUUUAACUUUUGAACUUGUAAUUCUAAGUUCAGGACUUCAUGACUACAUGUCCUUAACUUUUGAACUUGGAACUCUAAGUUCAGGACUACAUGUCCUUAACUUUUGAACUUAACUUCAAGACUUUAGGACUACAUGUCAUUAACUUUUGAACUUAACUUUAGGACUACAUGUCCUUAACUUUUUAAUUUGUAAAUAUAAGUUCAGGACCAAUUGUCCUUAACUUUUGAGCUUGUUAGUCUAAGUUAAGGACUUAUUGCCCUCAACUUUUAAGCUUGUUAGUUUAAGUUCAGGACUUCAGGACCUAUUAUCCUUAACUUUUGAACUUAUAACUGUAAGUUCAGGACCUAUUGUCCUUAACUUUUGAGGUUGUUAGUCUGAGUUCAGGACCAAGCACCCUUAACUUUUGAACUUGUAAUUCUAAGUUCAGGACCAAGUGUCCUUAACUUUUGAACUUGUAACUGUAAGUUCAGGAUCCAUAACGUAGCAGAAAACCAAACGUUAUUUGUAUCUUUUCACAAUAAUAAUAAUAAUAAUAAUAAUAAUUGCAAUUUACAUGUAAGAUUGAUGUCAAAUUACACAACAGAAAGCUAAUAGCAUCACUGCAAAACUUUAGAACAAUAUUUGUGAAUACAAAGAUACCUUCUUACUGGUAUUAAGCGCUCUGCAAAUUCUGCUCUUUACUCUUCUACGCUAUCACCAUCAGUAGCUUCCUCUGCAAAUUCCUCUACUUCAGUUUCAAGUCUCAGAAUCCCACAAAUAAGCUUGCAGCUGCUACUGUUUCCUCUACAAUCACUAGCAAUACCAAGACAGCAACUGUUGAAGCAGUGAAGGCAACUAAAGAAGAAAAUCCUUCCGGCACAGUUCUUCUCCUUAACAUGAAAGAGAUAGAAGAAAGGGUAACACAAUCUUUUUAUAUUAAUUUUAAUAGAUUAAUAGUUACUAUCGCUGAGCAUUAAAAAUACAGGAUAAAAAAUAAAUACUACUUAGAAAAGUGGGUAAUGCACACAAUUUUUACUCAUUUACACGGGCAAAACCCAGAUCAACGGAAGUCCAAAUCCAAAACGGGGCCCCAAUAAAACCUUACUUAUAUAUAGGUAGUCGGCUAACAGUUCCCCGGAAAUUCAAUUCAACGCAUUGGAAAAUUGAAACAUCAAGAAUCUGAUACCCAAUUACCCCCUAUUGGUAUAGAUUCAUUUGACAGUAAUAAGAAUUCAGAUUUAAGGAUUUUAAGCUUUAAAACUACAAAUACAGAAAGGGAAUUAAGAAGAAAUGACACAGCCGAGUAAAGAG